AUUGGGCGUAAAGCGAGCGCAGGCGGAAGAAUAAGUCUGAUGUGAAAGCCCUCGGCUUAACCGAGGAACUGCAUCGGAAACUGUUUUUCUUGAGUGCAGAAGAGGAGAGUGGAACUCCAUGUGUAGCGGUGGAAUGCGUAGAUAUAUGGAAGAACACCAGUGGCGAAGGCGGCUCUCUGGUCUGCAACUGACGCUGAGGCUCGGAAGCAUGGGUAGCGAACAGGAUUAGAUACCCUAGUAGUCCAUGCCGUAAACGAUGAGUGCUAAGUGUUGGGAGGUUUCCGCCUCUCAGUGCUGCAGCUAACGCAUUAAGCACUCCGCCUGGGGAGUACGACCGCAAGGUUGAAACUCAAAGGAAUUGACGGGGGCCCGCACAAGCGGUGGAGCAUGUGGUUUAAUUCGAAGCAACGCGAAGAACCCUACCAGGUCUUGACAUCUAGUGCCAUUUGUAGAGAUACAAAGUUCCCUUCGGGGACGCUAAGACAGGUGGUGCAUGGCUGUCGUCAGCUCGUGUCGUGAGAUGUUGGGUUAAGUCCCGCAACGAGCGCAACCCUUGUUAUUAGUUGCCAGCAUUAAGUUGGGCACUCUAAUGAGACUGCCGGUGACAAACCGGAGGAAGGUGGGGAUGACGUCAAGUCAUCAUGCCCCUUAUGACCUGGGCUACACACGUGCUACAAUGGGCAGUACAACGAGAAGCGAGCCUGCGAAGGCAAGCGGAUCUCUGAAAGCUGUUCUCAGUUCGGACUGCAGUCUGCAACUCGACUGCACGAAGCUGGAAUCGCU
RNAcentral lists this ribosomal RNA (783 nucleotides) under uncultured Lactobacillus sp. RNAcentral describes it as "bacterial SSU rRNA". It matches the Rfam family "Bacterial small subunit ribosomal RNA", at positions 553 to 1336 of the family's 1533-position model. The record is from RNAcentral. Lineage: Bacteria; Bacillati; Bacillota; Bacilli; Lactobacillales; Lactobacillaceae.